RNAcentral lists this unclassified non-coding RNA (283 nucleotides) under Hevea brasiliensis (rubber tree). The record is from RNAcentral. Lineage: Eukaryota; Viridiplantae; Streptophyta; Magnoliopsida; Malpighiales; Euphorbiaceae.
UCAAAAGCUAAAACUUUUGCUUUACCUCAAUUCUUUUCUUGACCUAUUGUUACUGAAAAUAUGAGCUCAUUAAAAAGGAGCUCUAACCUUAGACUCAUUGGAAAUGAGAGAGUCCAAAUCUCAAUUUAGUUGAAAAUAAUUAUGCUUAAUUUCAUUAAUUCAAGCAACUCCUUUUAUAAGAAAGGUUUACAUAGGAUUUAUUAGAAAUAGAAGUCCUAAUAAUAGUAGCAAAUCCUAUAAAAGAGGGAUUAUAAUUCUAAAAAGGAAAUAACUCUUAAUUAAA